GCUUACCAAASCUUAUGAUCUGUCCGGGUGKGAGACAAAGASCCCGAAGAUGGACCKGAACCAAGUUUCCAGCCCUUMGGGGGGCAAGCAGGCGGGAAACCUCCCCAAUGGGAAAAAUCGSGRCGGGGGGAUCCCCAAGUCCCAUUYUUAMCGGAAUAACUUAUUUAAAGGGUAAAAASUUUUUGGAAWAAGASYUGGGCAAGMCGUUSCCAGCCCCGCCGGUAACCCCGCAAGCUUUAGUGGUASYUGUUUUUAUGGGCCUAAAGCGUUCGUAGCCGGUUUUGAUAAGUCACGGGUGAAAUCCKGUAGCUUAACUGUGGGAAUUGCUGGUGAUACUGUUGAACUUGAGGUCGGGAGAGGUUAGCGGUACUCCCAGGGUAGAGGUGAAAUUCUGUAAUCCUGGGAGGACCACCUGUGGCGAAGGCGGCUAACUGGAACGAACCUGACGGUGAGGGACGAAAGCUAGGGGCGCGAACCGGUUUAGAUACCCGGGUAGUCCUAGCCGUAAACGAUGCGGGCCCUCUCUUGGAUGGCUUUGAGCCGCUCCGGUGCCGAAGGGAAGCUGUUAAGUCYGCCGCCUKGGAAG
This 586-nucleotide ribosomal RNA is filed under the name uncultured Methanobacteria archaeon. RNAcentral describes it as "partial 16S ribosomal RNA". It matches the Rfam family "Archaeal small subunit ribosomal RNA", at positions 247 to 835 of the family's 1478-position model. Lineage: Archaea; Methanobacteriati; Methanobacteriota; Methanobacteria. The record is from RNAcentral.